RNAcentral lists this long non-coding RNA (1152 nucleotides) under Strigops habroptila (Kakapo). RNAcentral's name for it is "lncRNA (ENSSHBG00005011967.1)". The record is from RNAcentral. Lineage: Eukaryota; Metazoa; Chordata; Aves; Psittaciformes; Psittacidae.
UAAUCAAUUUGGACAAAAGCAGUCUAAGAUUGAGAAUAAACUUCAACUACUGGAAUGCAAAAAGUAAGCUAAAAUAUUAGGUAAGUGAACACCACCAAAAUACAAAUCUGUUGUGUUAAGCUCUUAGUACAAGUCAUACAAAAACAGUUGCAGAUAAUGCCUGGCAGAAGAGUAACGCUCUUGGCUACAGAUCUUACCACGUGCAUCUGUAACCACGUUACAGAUCUUCGCAGUGCAGUUCCCAAAACAGCUGAAGAGCUGGCUGGGCUCUUCAGUCCAAAGCUCACAUACUCAGAUAAUGAACUCACUGAUGUAGAUUAUACUACUUUCACCCACUCUGAGGUUCUACGUAUGACCCCACUGAAGCCAACCUAAUAUCAUAAUCUCAUUUUUUCAUGAGAAAAAAUACGUUUAUACUCAUCAAUGAGUAUAAGGUAAAAACAUUAAAUGAUGAAGGAGAUAAAAAAUGCAGAGGUCACAAAUAUUCUCACCAAGGAGUCACUGGUUCUGAUACAGGCACAGCUCUGUUAAAAAUAGAGGUUUGGGAUACCCUUGCACCAUUUAGUGAAGCCUUUGAACUCGGAUGGACUGACUAAUAAGGGAGACCUCUUAAAGAAAGAUAACAGACAAAGGAAAUUUGAUUGGAGCUAACACUAAAACAUUCUGGAGGUUGUUGCUUCCUGGGGAGAAAGAGGGCUCUCCCUUAACCCGCAGCCUGACAGCUAUCCAGCUACCCACAGAGGGACUAACCUCAGCCACACAGAAAUCGUCAGAAUUGCAGUUCAAGCCUUUUUCAAGCUGAGCAUCCCUCAUCAAAAAUCCAACACAGGAAUAUUAAUAGGCAGCAUGGGAGUCUUUCAGUAACAACAGUGCAAAUAUCUAGUACUUGUAAAAAUGCAAGCAUCCCUCUCAUCUUUAAUCACUUAUAUUUUGAAAUGCUGGAUUGAAGAUCCUUAUUUUAAAAAAAUCUCCAAGAGACUUAUGUGUCCCACACCACCAUUCUGCAUCUUGCUUGAAUAAAUCUGUAACACAACAAGGUACUGAGAAGAAGUUUUUUUCAGGAAGAAAAGUCACAAAGAAAAAUGAUUGUAACAGAUAUCCCAAGAAACAAUUAAAGCCAUCAGCAAAAAACAAAACAAAACAAAAAAAAAA